GACAAACGCUGGCGGCGUGCGUAACACAUGCAAGUCGAACGCACCAGGCAACUGGUGAGUGGCGGACGGGUGAGGAACACGUGGAUGACCUGUCCCGACGUGGGGGAUACCUUUCAGAAAUGGGGGUUAAUCCCGCAUACGUCCGCCCCCUGCAGAGGGGGUGGGGAAAGUCUUCGGCAACGAGGGCGCGUUGGGAGGGGUCCGCGGCCGAUUAGCUAGUUGGUGUGGUAAGAGCGCACCAAGGCUGCGAUCGGUAGCUGGUCUGAGAGGAUGAUCA
This 277-nucleotide ribosomal RNA is filed under the name uncultured bacterium. RNAcentral's name for it is "partial 16S ribosomal RNA". It matches the Rfam family "Bacterial small subunit ribosomal RNA", at positions 28 to 306 of the family's 1533-position model. The record is from RNAcentral.